RNAcentral lists this ribosomal RNA (513 nucleotides) under uncultured bacterium. RNAcentral describes it as "bacterial SSU rRNA". It matches the Rfam family "Bacterial small subunit ribosomal RNA", at positions 999 to 1509 of the family's 1533-position model. The record is from RNAcentral.
AGCAGAGAUGCUUGGUUGGCCUUCCGGGAACGUCUGAGACAGGUGCUGCAUGGCUGUCGUCAGCUCGUGUUGUGAAAUGUUGGGUUAAGUCCCGCAACGAGCGCAACCCUUAUCCUUUGUUGCCAGCGGCUCGGCCGGGAACUCAAAGGAGACUGCCGGUGAUAAACCGGAGGAAGGUGGGGAUGACGUCAAGUCAUCAUGGCCCUUACGGCCAGGGCUACACACGUGCUACAAUGGCGCAUACAAAGAGAAGCGACCUCGCGAGAGCAAGCGGACCUCACAAAGUGCGUCGUAGUCCGGAUUGGAGUCUGCAACUCGACUCCAUGAAGUCGGAAUCGCUAGUAAUCGUAGAUCAGAAUGCUACGGUGAAUACGUUCCCGGGCCUUGUACACACCGCCCGUCACACCAUGGGAGUGGGUUGCAAAAGAAGUAGGUAGCUUAACCUUCGGGAGGGCGCUUACCACUUUGUGAUUCAUGACUGGGGUGAAGUCGUAACAAGGUAAGCGUAGCGAG